CAGUUUAUGAUGCUUCAUUAUAUUGCGGCUAGCUUCAAAACAUGAUUGUGUCUCACCACAAUAAAAUAGGUUCACUACUGAUUGAUCCAAUUAUUUGAAGACUUGAGGUUACAAGUGAAGUAGCAAGUUCCGAAGACGUCAUAUAAGUUAGGAAGAUUCUUAUGUUUUUGCUCUUAUAUUUUUGUUAAGGGGUUGUGUAAACAGUACCUUGAAAUAUUAUAACUAGUUGGGUGAUAAUUAGAUUUUUUUUUUUUUUUUAAAUUUAGUACAAAUCUUAUAUUUGUAUGUAUAUUUCUGUAUGAAAGCUUGAUUCUAUCGAAAAAUUUGAUUUCCGCAUAUUGAAAAUUG
Long non-coding RNA from Lycium ferocissimum, 348 nucleotides. RefSeq lists it as uncharacterized. The record is from RefSeq and is a predicted model, not a curated record. The transcript is spliced from 3 exons. NCBI's taxonomy places the organism in Eukaryota, Viridiplantae, Streptophyta, Magnoliopsida, Solanales, Solanaceae.